UGCAGCGACGCCGCGUGAGGGAUGACGGCCUUCGGGUUGUAAACCUCUUUCAGCAGGGACGAAGCGCAAGUGACGGUACCUGCAGAAGAAGCACCGGCUAACUACGUGCCAGCAGCCGCGGUAAUACGUAGGGUGCAAGCGUUGUCCGGAAUUACUGGGCGUAAAGAGUUCGUAGGCGGUUUGUCGCGUCGUUUGUGAAAACCAGCAGCUCAACUGCUGGCUUGCAGGCGAUACGGGCAGACUUGAGUACUGCAGGGGAGACUGGAAUUCCUGGUGUAGCGGUGAAAUGCGCAGAUAUCAGGAGGAACACCGGUGGCGAAGGCGGGUCUCUGGGCAGUAACUGACGCUGAGGAACGAAAGCGUGGGUAGCGAACAGGAUUAGAUACCCUGGUAGUCCACGCCGUAAACGGUGGGCGCUAGGUGUGGGUUCCUUCCACGGAAUCCGUGCCGUAGCUAACGCAUAAGCGCCCCGCCUGG
This 477-nucleotide ribosomal RNA is filed under the name Rhodococcus sp. FB6. Its description in RNAcentral is "bacterial SSU rRNA". It matches the Rfam family "Bacterial small subunit ribosomal RNA", at positions 387 to 876 of the family's 1533-position model. The record is from RNAcentral. Lineage: Bacteria; Bacillati; Actinomycetota; Actinomycetes; Mycobacteriales; Nocardiaceae.